Molecule: ribosomal RNA, 373 nt
Filed under: Serratia sp. (in: enterobacteria)
Lineage: Bacteria; Pseudomonadati; Pseudomonadota; Gammaproteobacteria; Enterobacterales; Yersiniaceae
Description: bacterial SSU rRNA
Rfam family: Bacterial small subunit ribosomal RNA
Source: RNAcentral
UGCAGUCGAGCGGUAGCACAAGGAGCUUGCUCCUGGGUGACGAGCGGCGGACGGGUGAGUAAUGUCUGGGAAACUGCCCGAUGGAGGGGGAUAACUACUGGAAACGGUAGCUAAUACCGCAUAACGUCUUCGGACCAAAGUGGGGGACCUUCGGGCCUCACACCAUCGGAUGUGCCCAGAUGGGAUUAGCUAGUAGGUGAGGUAAUGGCUCACCUAGGCGACGAUCCCUAGCUGGUCUGAGAGGAUGACCAGCCACACUGGAACUGAGACACGGUCCAGACUCCUACGGGAGGCAGCAGUGGGGAAUAUUGCACAAUGGGCGCAAGCCUGAUGCAGCCAUGCCGCGUGUGUGAAGAAGGCCUUCGGGUUGUAA